AUGGGGCAUUGCCACUUUCUGAAGGUCGUGGAGGAUGCCCGAAAGAUUCGGAAGAGCGUGAUAGACUGCUUUGAAAAGGCGUCACCUCCUAACCUCAGUGAAGAGGAGAGAAGGAAGAUCCUUCACUUUGUGAUUAUCGGUGGUGGACCUACUGGGGUUGAAUUUGCGGUGGAGUUGCAUGAUUUUCUUGUCGAAGAUCUGGUGAAGCUAUAUCCUGCAAUUGAAGAAUUUGUGAAGAUAACAAUUAUGCAAUCAGGAGAACAUAUAAUGAGGGUUGAAUGUUCCUGCAGUAAUAACCUUAGUUUUGGGCAAGAUGAUCAAGGAGUAGCGAAACUUUAG
Molecule: ribosomal RNA, 339 nt
Filed under: Triticum aestivum (bread wheat)
Lineage: Eukaryota; Viridiplantae; Streptophyta; Magnoliopsida; Poales; Poaceae
Description: partial small subunit ribosomal RNA
Source: RNAcentral